UGUUAAGUUUUUCAUCAUUUUUAUUACGAAAAAUUAAUAUAACUGACAAAAUAACCAGACAGUUACCAUGUGUACCUCAUUUUGACGUACAUGCUCCAAUUUUUAACAGUAAAAAUGGAUAAAAAUUUUAACA
Gossypium hirsutum (cotton) is the source of this 133-nucleotide non-coding RNA. Lineage: Eukaryota; Viridiplantae; Streptophyta; Magnoliopsida; Malvales; Malvaceae. The record is from Rfam.